CCUACGGGAGGCAGCAGUGAGGAAUAUUGGUCAAUGGGCGCGAGCCUGAACCAGCCAAGUAGCGUGAAGGAUGACUGCCCUACGGGUUGUAAACCUCUUUUAUAAAGGAAUAAAGUGAGGCACGUGUGCCUUUUUGUAUGUACUUUAUGAAUAAGGAUCGGCUAACUCCGUGCCAGCAGCCGCGGUAAUACGGAGGAUCCGAGCGUUAUCCGGAUUUAUUGGGUUUAAAGGGUGCGUAGGUGGUUUGUUAAGUCAGUUGUGAAAGUUUGCGGCUUAAACGUAAAAUUGCAGUUGAUACUGGCAGACUUGAGUACAGUCGAGGUAGGCGGAAUUAGUGGUGUAGCGGUGAAAUGCUUAGAUAUCACGUAGAACUCCGAUUGCGAAGGCAGCUCACUGGACUGCAACUGACACUGAGGCACGAGAGUGUGGGUAGCAAACAGGAUUAGAUACCCUAGUAGUC
RNAcentral lists this ribosomal RNA (460 nucleotides) under uncultured bacterium. RNAcentral describes it as "partial 16S ribosomal RNA". It matches the Rfam family "Bacterial small subunit ribosomal RNA", at positions 338 to 795 of the family's 1533-position model. The record is from RNAcentral.